GCAAAGAUAAAAACGCAAUGUACAAAUUGUACUAGAGCUGGUAGGUAGCCCAGCCGUCUAUUUUAAUAGGUAAGUAACCUGCCCCUCCGGGUUGUCCAUUCUUUGUUUAUUUA
This 113-nucleotide non-coding RNA is filed under the name uncultured Faecalibacillus sp. RNAcentral describes it as "yjdF RNA". It matches the Rfam family "azaaromatic riboswitch aptamer (yjdF RNA)". Lineage: Bacteria; Bacillati; Bacillota; Erysipelotrichia; Erysipelotrichales; Coprobacillaceae. The record is from RNAcentral.